GCCAGCUUAAGUGUUAAGCCGGGCGCUCUAAAUUUAGAUUUAUCUUUAACCAUGGUAGAGCACUUCCAUGGUAAGGAAGGGGUCUCGAGUUCAAAUCUCGAAGGCGGCUCCA
This 112-nucleotide transfer RNA is filed under the name Candidatus Saccharimonadota bacterium. RNAcentral describes it as "tRNA-Thr". Lineage: Bacteria; Candidatus Saccharimonadota. The record is from RNAcentral.